GCUGCAUCCCUUGUGACCUCCG
Molecule: microRNA, 22 nt
Filed under: Ornithorhynchus anatinus (platypus)
Lineage: Eukaryota; Metazoa; Chordata; Mammalia; Monotremata; Ornithorhynchidae
Description: Oan-Mir-1421-P51_3p* (star (passenger))
Source: RNAcentral